RNA transcript from Drosophila obscura, 4271 nucleotides. It is a transcript of the gene named serine/threonine-protein kinase prp4, with no coding region annotated. Lineage: Eukaryota; Metazoa; Arthropoda; Insecta; Diptera; Drosophilidae. The transcript is spliced from 12 exons. The record is from RefSeq and is a predicted model, not a curated record.
UUUUAGGUUAUGUUUACAAAUUUAUUUUAUAGAAGCCAAAUUUGGAGCAAAAAAAAAAAAGAGAAAAGUUAAUUUAACCAAAUAUAUGCAAGACUUAAUCCCACACUUUCGCCAGUAUUUAAGUGUUUGUGAUAAAACAAAAUGAGUGACGAAAAAAGUCUUGAAUCCAGCAAUAAUAGUGAAUCAGAGGAGCACCGAGCUAAGCUCAAGAAACAAAAGAAGCAUAAGAAACACAAAAAGUCCACAUCCAGUAAGAGUGAUAGAGAUAAACAUGUUCACAAAAGGCAAAAAAAGUCCAAGAAGCGUCACCACCGCCAUAGCGACUCUCCCCAUGACUCCGACGGAACAACAGAACAUCCAAGCGCCAAACAACAGAAGAGCUAUGACAAGUUCUCCGAAAUCAUGCAGAAGACAAGCCGUAAUGGCGUCGAGUUCUGUAUCUCUAGCUCCAAAUUGCAAACAGACCCGUGUAGUCUCGUGGAGGAAAUUACAAAGACCAUACAGAACAAGGUUCUCCCAGUUUUGGAGGUGGGCAGUUCAAGCAGCGAGAGUGAUGUCCCCAUGGACGUUGCUAGUCCGAUUAUUGCUUCCAUUAUAGAAGAUGAGUUAAAUUUAGAGGAUCUGAUGAAGCAGAAAGCAUUGCUACAGGCUCGCCUGGGUGCGUACAUGUCGGACCCCGACGCUGAUGAAAGAAGUGAACCCAACUCACGACCACAGUCGGUGCAGUCCAAGCAAAUAGCCAUCAAGGGCCAAUCGCAGCCUUUAUUCCAACCGCAGCCGAUGGUCCUCAGCAAGUCUGCAGCGCCGCUGGCUACUGCAACUAGUAAAAAUGUUAAUAAUAAACAGUCUAGCAUCCAUAACUCAAAUGAAUCCGAUGUUAUAUUAUUGGAUGAUUCUAGUGGAGGCCAACGUACGCCGUCGCCUACGCCAGAGAAGCGAAGACGACACGCACCACCAUCCCCAGCAGCGCCUAGAAGUCGAGUACGCGACGAUCCGGUUCAUGGACGACGUGAUCUCCGCUCUAGAGACCGGGACCAGGUGCGUAGCCGCACUCCCCCUCGCCGGCGUUUGGAGGAACAGACUCGGCCCCGCAGUCUAAGCUCCCAACGACGGAAUCAUCAGCAUAACAAUCGUAACAUGGAAGACUUGCGCCAGGAGAUAAAUCGCGAUAAACAGCGGGAAAGGCACGAGCAUAGCCGAGAUCGAGAGCGCCGUGGAGCAGGAACAGACAGACCACAAGCCACAGUCGAACCACGUGCUGGUCGUCCACGGGAGAGAGAAGGUCGCUUUAGUCGGCAGCGGUCCCACAGUCGCAGUAAGUUUGAGUCGGACAGGCGCCGUGAGCGUGAGCGCUUCCUAGACCGGGAUCGUUGUGGCUUUGGUGGUAAUAAUCGUCUUGGAGCACGUGGCGGUACCGACAACGACCGAGACCGCUACAAAGGUUCAUUGAGCGAAGGGCAGAAGAUGCACGACAAGGAGUCUAGUGACGAUGACGUCAAUCUGGAUAUAGACAUUAACGAGGAUGAAGAUGAUGAGGAACGUAUCAUUGAGCAGCGUCGGAAGAAGCGCGAGGAGCUUCUCAAGAAACUGGGAACAGGGCAGGAUUCGCCCACUCCUCAAAAUUCAAACUCUUAUGAGUCUCGUAGCACCUCAGCAGGCUCGUCGCAACGCGAUCGCCUACAAAGAACUCCCACGCCCACCCUGAUGAUCAAUGACUUGGAGCACCCCAAGGUGCAGCAGCAGUUGGACAAUUCCAACAGCCAAAAGAAUAGUUCGGGAAAAGAGAAACGCAAUGAGUGGGACAUGUUUGCGGAUCAGGAUGUUGAUUCCAAUUUCGAUUCGCCCAGCACAAUUAUUCACAACAAGCAUCAGCAUGAGAAUCCUGCCCUUACCGACAACUGGGAUGACGCCGAAGGAUAUUAUCGUGUACGGAUUGGAGAAGUUCUAGACAAUCGCUACUUGGUUAGUGGCUAUACGGGUCAAGGAGUGUUCAGCAAUGUAGUGCGUGGGCGGGAUCAGGCUCGGGGACAGGCGAAUGUAGCAAUCAAGAUCAUUCGCAACAACGAAAUUAUGCACAAAACUGGCUUGCGAGAGCUGGAAAUCCUCAAGAAACUGAACGACGCCGAUCCCGAAGAUCGUUUCCACUGCCUGCGAUUGAAUCGCCAUUUUUUCCACAAACAGCAUCUCUGCAUGGUGUUCGAGCCACUGGCCAUGAAUUUGCGUGAGGUGUUAAAGAAGUACGGCAAAAAUGUCGGUUUGCACAUCAAAGCAGUGCGCAGCUACACUCAGCAACUGUUUUUAGCCCUCAAGCUGCUGAAAAAGACAGGUAUUCUGCAUGCGGACAUUAAGCCGGAUAAUAUUUUAGUCAACGAGAAUAAUUUAAUACUGAAGUUGUGCGACUUUGGAUCUGCUUCGGCAAUAAGUGACAAUGAAAUUACUCCGUACUUGGUGUCACGGUUCUAUCGAUCGCCCGAGAUUAUUUUGGGAAUACCAUAUGACUAUGGAAUUGACACUUGGUCUGCUGGUUGCACUAUCUAUGAAUUAUACACGGGCAAGAUUUUGUUCAGCGGAAAGAGUAAUAAUCAGAUGCUAAAGUUUUUCAUGGACGUGAAGGGCAAGAUACCGAACCGUAUUGUAAGAAAGGGUCAAUUCAGAGAGCAGCACUUCGAUCAGAACUGCAAUUUCCUCUAUCACGAGAUAGACAAGCUUACGGAAAGGGAGAAGGUUGUUGUGAUGCCAGUCGUAAAGCCAUCGCGAAGCCUGCAGCAGGAACUAAUUGCUGAUCAAAAUUUGCCCGAUGAUCAGCAUCGCAAGGUCACCCAGCUCAAGGACCUGCUAGAGAACAUGUUUGCCCUUGAUCCAGCGAAGCGGAUCUCCCUCAAUCAAUCACUAAUGCAUCCAUUUAUACAGGAGAAAAUGUAGAGAUGAACAACGACAUCGAAUAAACUGUGCCGCUGAUCAUGGAAGAGCGCUCCUUGGCCGUGUGGCUGACACAACUGGUGGGUUGACUUCACAAGUCUAUACGGAGACCUCUUCGAUCUUCGGCUUUUACUGACCAUUCGAAAAGUUAAAUCGUAAGUUCAUACAAGAACACAUUCCACAUUUUUAAGCUAAGGGUAAGUAAAGAUGUCCAACAAAUAGUAAUGCGUGACAUGCUAUGGUGGACGGGCACCUGAGCUAUCGAAAGGCAUCGGCAGGGCCAGUACUGUCUGCAGAGUCUCGCAAUCUCUUAGACUGUGGAGGAUGCGGGGCUGAAGCUCGCUUUUUAGCAAGCAUUUGAAUCGCUUGGGCUUCCAAUUGUUUUCCGAAUAGGGAUCACGCAACAGUGCAAAGACGCAUUCAAAAACGCCAACACAGGACUCGGUUGUGUGAAGAGUACCACAGGAGAGCACCAAGACUUGACCAUAGGAAUCCAUGCGCCCUUGUAUUCCACCGUGGGUUAAGUUUGGAUUAAAUAGGAAGCCAAAUUUCUUUUUUGUGCCUAUAAGUACUGAAAGUACCUCUGGAGCCGUCUCACACUCCUGCACAUUGAUACCAUCACUUGCACUGAUAGUCAAGUGCAAGGCCGCAUCGUUCCACAAAUCUAUGAGGCUAAGUCGGUCAGAAUUAAUGCGUUCAAAAAACCACUGGCCGAAUUUGCGAGCCAUUGUGUGAAUGGGAUACUCCUCUACUUCUACGUUGUUCGGUUUGCUAAUGGGCUCUACAGGUUGCUCCCAAUAUUUGAUCACUUUCGUUACCAAAUCCGCCUUGGUAAAGUUUGUGGCUAUGCCCGGUAAGCGUCUCUUCACAUACAUAAACAGAAGUUCACGCGUGACGAGACGUUUGGACAAUAAAACGUGUAUGUCCUCCACAUGCGAUAUGAGGUAGUCAAGAGCUUCUGAUCUUCGAUUUUACACACAUUUUUGGUCGUACUCUUGGCCAACUGCAUCAAUAUAGCUGUGUUUUUCUCAUUCACCAAGAAGUCUCGGAGACCGUUCUUGUAGACUUCCAAAAUGGGCAUGGUUAUUAAAAACUUGUAUACCGAUAUGUGCUUAAUUGCUCUGCGUAUGAUAUACAUUUAUCCAUAAUUUGUCUGAAAAAAUCAAACCAAAUCAGCUGUUUGCUAUGAAGAUAUGGUCACACUUAACCCGCAGUGUUGUCAAAUGGUGGAAAAAGAAAAAGUGCAGCUUCUUUCUGAUUCUUCAAUUAUAUUGAAGUGGAAGGUUAUUGCUUGAACACCUCCUUCUGUUUAAUAAAGAAAUUUUACACAAAUUAACUUGAACGAACUUUAU